This 301-nucleotide ribosomal RNA is filed under the name uncultured bacterium. Its description in RNAcentral is "partial 16S ribosomal RNA". It matches the Rfam family "Bacterial small subunit ribosomal RNA", at positions 509 to 809 of the family's 1533-position model. The record is from RNAcentral.
CAGUCGCCGCGGGAAUACGUAGGUGGCAAGCGUUGUCCGGAAUUAUUGGGCGUAAAGCGCGCGCAGGCGGAUAGGUCAGUCUGUCUUAAAAGUUCGGGGCUUAACCCCGUGAUGAGAUGGAAACUGCCAAUCUAGAGUAUCGGAGAGGGAAGUGGAAUUCCUAGUGUAGCGGUGAAAUGCGUAGAUAUUAGGAAGAACACCAGUGGCGAAGGCGACUUUCUGGACGAAAACUGACGCUGAGGCGCGAAAGCCAGGGGAGCGAACGGGAUUAGAUACCCGUGUAGUCCCUGUCUCUUAUACA